RNAcentral lists this ribosomal RNA (478 nucleotides) under uncultured anaerobic ammonium-oxidizing bacterium. RNAcentral's name for it is "bacterial SSU rRNA". It matches the Rfam family "Bacterial small subunit ribosomal RNA", at positions 365 to 833 of the family's 1533-position model. The record is from RNAcentral.
UUCGCAAUGCCCGAAAGGGUGACGAAGCGACGCCGCGUGGGUGAGGAAGGCCUUCGGGUUGUAAAGCCCUGUCAGGAGUUAUGAAAUGUAAGUGCGCUAAUAUCGUGCUUAUUUGACAAAGGCUCCAAAGGAAGCCACGGCUAACUCUGUGCCAGCAGCCGCGGUAAUACAGAGGUGGCGAGCGUUGUUCGGAAUUAUUGGGCGUAAAGAGCACGUAGGUGGGUUUGCAAGUCAGAUGUGAAAGCCUUCUGUUCAACGGAAGAAUUGCAUCUGAAACUGCUAAUCUUGAGUAUAGGAGGGGAGAAUGGAACUUCUGGUGGAGCGGUGAAAUGCGUUGAUAUCAGAAGGAACGCCGGCGGCGAAAGCGAUUCUCUGGCCUAUUACUGACACUCAGUGUGCGAAAGCUAGGGGAGCAAACGGGAUUAGAUACCCCGGUAGUCCUAGCCGUAAACGAUGGGCACUAAGUAGAGGGGUUUUA